GACAAACAGAUCGAGUUAAGUUGUAGUUGGUAUAAAAGGAAGUUAGAAAGAGACAAACUAUAGAUAGAAGAUUGAAUUUUUGUUUUAGAGGUGGAAUUUGUGUAAUAAAGGGUUGCUUAGGUAUCUUCUUUAUUUUGAUACUUCGAAAGUUAGUGCGGAGACCGGGAUUAGAUACCCCGUUAUUUUUACUGUAAAUUUUGGUUUCCUACCUGAGUAUUACGAGUUGAACUUUAUUAAGUGCAUAGCAUUCUUGUUGUGUAUUGGUUCUUUUGCUUAAAACUCAAAAAACUUGGCGGUGUUUUAUUUCUUUCCAGGGGAACCUGUCCUGUAAUCGAUAGUCCACGAUUUAACUUACUUUUUUUUGAGAGUUAAUAUAUGUUGGCUAUAACAGUUUGUAUACCGUCGUCGUCAGAUAACCUUUAAGAGGAAAGAAGUUAUCAGGAAAGUGAUGUUUAGUUGGUUUAUUUUAGUGAUAUUUCUUAAACUAGUUAGAUAUGCUUCGAUGUCAGAUCAAGGUGCAGCUAAUAGAAAAUGGAGAGAUGGGUUACAUUAUAUAAUUAAUUUGGAUUUUAAGAUGUAAUACUUAAAUAAAAUUGGACUUGGAAGUAAUGCCUAUUUUAAGAAUUAGUAAGUAGGCAUGAAUGUUGUACUGAAACGCGU
Molecule: ribosomal RNA, 660 nt
Filed under: Stomatolina angulata
Lineage: Eukaryota; Metazoa; Mollusca; Gastropoda; Trochida; Trochidae
Description: partial 12S rRNA
Rfam family: Bacterial small subunit ribosomal RNA
Source: RNAcentral